RNAcentral lists this non-coding RNA (27 nucleotides) under Homo sapiens (human). The record is from RNAcentral. Lineage: Eukaryota; Metazoa; Chordata; Mammalia; Primates; Hominidae.
CCGUGGGCCUGUCAUUUAUGAGUCAUG